GAUCGGCGAAAUGUCCAGCUGGCUGGUUCGAGGUUGCCUUUGCUAGAUAUUGCUGCACAAAUAGCAGCAACUUGUGCACUGAACUCAUCCUUUGUUGAGCCAAGCAGUGGUGUUGAACAGUAAUGUCACAGAUGGCUCUUUUGCAUUUAGCUAGGUCAUUGAGCCUGCAGCUGCCACUGAGAGCUAGGAAUGGACUUAACCGCAGUGCUAAACUGAAAUCAGUUUGCCCGACUUCUGCGAGGGGGGUUGCCUCCAUCAUCGACGGUCGGAGAAUCGCCGGCGAGAUCAAGAGCGAGCUGCGCGUGGAGAUCGAUCAGCUGACCAGCGGUUAGUCGGCCGGUCUUGCGGCCAGCUGAGCCGGGCUCGUCGCUGUGGCCCGGCUCGACGCGGCUGGAAACUACUGUCACUAGUGGACUGAAGACCGAACA
Long non-coding RNA from Pollicipes pollicipes, 428 nucleotides. RefSeq lists it as uncharacterized. NCBI's taxonomy places the organism in Eukaryota, Metazoa, Arthropoda, Thecostraca, Pollicipedomorpha, Pollicipedidae. The transcript is spliced from 4 exons. The record is from RefSeq and is a predicted model, not a curated record.